CCAAGUCAAGGGCUUUCAGAGAGUACAAAUAGAGUUCCAACAGAGAGAGUUCAUCCAAAACUUCUAAUUCAAGGUAUGUGAGGUUUUGAACAAGGGUAAUUCUUUCACCUCGUGCCCAAAGGCUUAUUUAAACUACAAUUCUCUGCAACUUAUGACAUUUUACAUGAAAUUGAAUUGGGGGUUUUCACCCAUUGUUAUUGGUUGCAAGAUUUUGAUGUUUUCCUUGAACUGAGAGUCUAAUGGCAUGAUUUUUACAUGUUUUCUUGAGAAAUUGUAGCUAGGUCUAUACCCCAUGAUUUUAAUCCUAGAGAAAUUAAUAGUUGAAAUGUUUGAAACAUUGAAGUAUGUUGAGAUUUUGAGAUAAAUUGCUGAAAUUUCUAGAUUUCUAUAUGAGUUAUGAAUCUAUAUGCUAUCUAUUAUGCUUUUGAUGAGUUUUAACUUAGGGUUGAACUAUGGGUUAUUAAUCUCUACUUGAGACUUGAGAUUUUAUGAACUAUUGUGCUAUAAGCUCCCAUGAUUUGAGUAUUCUGAGAUUAUUGAGAAAUGUUUUGACCUAAUGGUCAUUAAGUUUUGAAAUCCACUCUACUAUAUCUGAUUACAGAUUUGAUUAUUGGGUUCUUAUUGAACCAUGAGAUUAUUCUAAAGUGGAUUUUCAUGAGAUGAGCGAGAUAAACUAAAGGGAGUAGUAUUUAGCACCGAGUGGGUAAAUUACUACGGUUUCUUACCCCAAAAUUACUUUCCACCGUAGGUUGAGCCUGAGGCCGAGUAUAUGAUUGUUAUUGGGCCUAAGGAUGAGUUGAUAUUAGGCCUGACGACGAGUUUAUUUAGUGAUCACUGGACCUAGGUUAUACUCCCUGGCAAGAGUAUGACGCCUCUCCCCAACUUGAGGUCUCUUCCUUAGAAGGACAAAACGUUGGACUCCAUGUAGCUCGCAUGGUUUAUGUCGAUUAAGAGAACCUCCCUUGACAUUUAAACUUCGAAAUCAGUUACCCUCAAAACUAAAGUAUUUUCCAUUGAGAUAAGAUAUUCUCCUUUAAAACUAAAAUACUUUCCCUUGAUAUGAGUAUUUUUCCCUAAAGCUUGAAAUGAGAUAUUUUCCUAACGUGAAUGAAAUGCCUUCAAGUAUGUUCCAAAGUUAUAUGAUUUCGAAUUCCAAGUAUUUGAGUUCAAAAGAGUUAUGAGUUCUUGAGCAUUGAAGAAGUUUUACUCUCUAUGAGAUAUAUGCAUGAGUUGAAAGUAUUGUUUAAAGUUUCCUUUAGCCUUGAGUAAUGAGAAUAAGACAAGAGUACAAAUUUCAAAUCUGAAAGUAUAAUGACUCACAAGAUUGUGUUACAUGUUCCAUUUUACAUGAUUCAUGAGCUUCACAUUCAUGGGGUUUUCACCCAUUGUUAUUGGUUGCAAGUUUUUUAUGUUUUCCUUGAAUUGAGAGUCUAAUGGCAUGAUUUUUAUAUGUUUUCUUGAAAAAUUACAGCAGGGUCUAUACCCCAUGAUUUUAAUCCUUGAGAAGCUAAUAGUUGAAAUGUUUGAAACAUUGAAGUAUGUGAGUAUGUUGAGAUAAAUUGCUGAAAUUUUCAGAUUUCUACAUGAGUUAUGAAUCUAUAUGCUAUCUAUUAUGCUUUUGAUGAGUUUUAACUUGGGAUUGAACUAUGGGUUACUAAUCCCUACUUGAGACUUGAGAUUUUAUGAACUAUUGUGCUAUAAGCACCCAUGAUUUGAGUAUUCUGAGAUUAUUGAGAAAUGUUUUGACCUAAUGGUCAUUAAGUUUUGAAAUCCACUCUACUAUAUCUGAUUACAGAUUUGAUUAUUGGGUAAUAAUUGAACCAUGAGAUUAUUCUAAAGUAGAUUUUCAUGAGAUGAGCGAGAUAAACUAAAGGGAGUAGUAUUUAGCACCGAGUGGGUAAAUUACUACGGUUUCUUACCCCAAAACUACUUUCCAUCGUAGGUUGAGCCUUAGGCCGAGUUUAUGUGUAACACCCCGUACUUAAUUACGUGCAUUAGUCAUUGUUAUAUGUGUUGGAGUAUAUGUAUUGAUCCUAAGUUAGGUAUAUAUGAGUUUAAGUAUGAGUAUUGAUUAUUUUGAGAUGGUUUCAAGUGUGUAGUUUGAUUAUAGGUGUAUAGGAAUCGACUUUAUUUAUAUCGGAAUUUUCCCGUCGAUGGUUCCAUACGAAGGUUAUUGAAUAAGCUUUCCAACGAUAUAAAGAUUUCCAAAAACGGAUAAGUUUCGGAUAUAAGCGAGCUCGUUCGAAACUUUAAAACGGUGGCCGGGAUGUGAACAGUAAAAUGUGCAGGAAACUACUGAGGCCUGCCAGUUUUUUGGGUCAACUUUGAACGAUCAUAACUCCCUCAAUAUAAUGAACUGGUUGAGCUACCAUAUAUCAAAAGAAAGAUCUUUGAGUCUUCUUUCCAAUGAAAUUGGUUUCAUCCAAAUCCAACAUCUGAGUAAGGAGUUAUACUCGUUUUACUUCAGCCUCUCAAAACAGAUUUUUAGGGUCAACUUCAAACGAUCAUAACUACUUGUACAGGACGAACUGGGUGGAUUAAUUUAUAUUAAAUGAAAGACCUUUGAAUUAUCUUUCUAACGAUACCAAUUUCACCCAAAUCCGAUAUCGGAGCAAAGAGUUAUGGCCGAUUUACUUUAGCCUAUCAAAACAGUCCACCAUGGACAGAUUCGGAUUUACUUAAAUUUUUAAGGGCAAUAUGGUCAUUUUCCAUCACCUCAUGGACGAAAAUUGGUCAUUAUAUACAUAUACUUAGCCUUAUAUCCACCAUUUAUCAUCCAAAUCAUUGAAGAAUAAGAAACCCUAGCCUAAGUUCAACUCCAAUUAUCUUGUGAUUCAACCGUAGAAAAUCCAAAUUGAUUCCGUAGUUGUGUUCACCGUCUCAAGGGCUUCGAGAAGCACCCCUUAUUUGUGCCAACAGGACUUCGAAAUCAAAAGGGCCAUUUUUUUUGGUAAGGAUGUAAAUUAUGUUGGUGUUAUUUAUAUGGAUAUGUAUAUAUAUAUAUAUAUGCAUGUGAGCAUAAGAAGUAUGUUAUUUGAUUGUUGUUGAAAGAUGAUUGGAAAUGAUGUUGGAUUAUUCUUGUGCAUGGUUGGAUUAUGUUAAAUUGUGAAGGAAUUUGGGGUGAUGAUGUGGUAUUGAUGAUGUGGUAUUGAGAUGAUGAUUAUAUACAUAUACACACAUAAACCUAUUGUUCAAGUUGGUUUUUGGAAUGUUUUGCAAAUAUUGGUAGUAUGGAAUUAUGGAAGAGAAUUGUGGUGUUGGGUUGCUAAUACUAGAUGCCAAACAUUUCAUUGUAGAUAAGUGAUUUGUAAAGGCGGGAAGUUGUGUUGAAUUGGUAUCUGAAUCUACAACGAGGUAUGUAAAGCAUACUCUAACAAUGUUCUUUGGCAUGAAAACACCAAUGUUCCAUCAAGUAAGAUUCCGAGGUUGUCCAAAAACAUGUAUUGUUCUACGUUACCAACGAAGUUGUUUCCAUCCUAUAAAGUGUCAAAAUGUUCAUUGAUAUACCAAAAGGCUCUUAUUUCAUUGUUGUGAUAUUGAUGAUUCUGAAACAUAUUGUUGAUGUACCAAUGAGUCCUUAUUACAUCGUUAUUGUAUAGAAGGUCUAUUACUUGGUUCCUAUUGAUGUAUCAUUGUUUCAAGGUAUCAAAAAUGUGGUGACGACCGAAAUAACAAUCUCAAAGAUUAAUUGAACUAAGUGAUGAAAGUUCUCUCUUAUCGGGUGGUAUCCCAGGGGCAUAAGCCUAGCAUGGGUCGAUCCCUAUUUCAUGUGUUUAUGGGUGGUAUCCCAGGGGCAUAAGCCUAGCAUGGGUCGAUCCCAGUUGAUAUGUACUGGAGGCAUCCUAAUGGUCACAGUACAGUACAGUAAUGAUUACAAAGACGAUAAGAACGAAGGUAAAGUGAUUGAAUAAAUACAAUGUACAGGUUGUCACAAGUUCUAGUAAGUGUGGUCCACUCCUAUUACGACUUAUUCACUUGUUUCUGAUUUCUAUUGAGCUCCUAUAUCAUAUGUGAUUAUUUACAGCUUUACAUACUCAGUACAUAUUUCGUACUGACGUCCCUCACGGGGGACCUGCAUUUCAUGCUGCAGGCACAGGUACCUCAACUCAUACACCGCACAAGUAGGAGCCAGGUCAUACAGCUAUUGUUGGUGAGCUCCAGUUUGCUUCGGAGCUUUCCGAGUCGGUUCCUUAUGUUUUGUUAUUGUACAUGAGUCACGUGUGGGCGGGGGUUUGUCCCGACCCUAGUUAUGUCAUGUAUAUCCUAGAGGCUUUGUAGACAUAAGGAAGGGUAAAGUCAUGGAAGUUUAUAUAGUAACGUUAUAUUUGUAUAUGUGGUGGCCCCGACGGCCAAGUAUUAUAUAUAUAUAUUUGUGCGUGUUGUGCUGAUACAGGUAAUUAGACCUUUCUAUAUGCAACGAAGUGCUGUCCAAUUUUUUUGGUGACAUGUAAGUGAAAGUACAGGUAUUUGAACGGGUUCUCCCGGGCCUUCUCGGCUUCGGGUGCCAGUCCGGCCCGAUGGGAUUUUGGGGCGUGACACAAGUGAUCAAAAAUCCACUAUGGUAUGAUGACACAUUUUUUAAAGACAAAACUCUCUUCUUAAAAGAUGAUAGUUUGUCAAUUGGAGGGGUUAGUGGUCCAAAAGAAGGGGGUGUAUGUUCUCCAAUGACCUAUUCAUUCUUGUGUGAACCCAUGCUUGAUCAAGGGCUUAAUGCUUGUAGAUCAAAGGGUGAUUCUAUAUGUGGGCACACCUUAAAUAAACUUUAUUUAAGUAACACCUUUCUAUACCACUUUUUUUGCAUAUGAUGAUACUCUUUCCUUUGAGUGGAGUAUGUUAUGUGAGAGUAGAGUGUCAAUGGGGCAAAUAGGUGUAUGAUUUUACCCAUGUUUAUGGAUUGCCUUUUCCUUUUGUCCUGGUAAUGAUUUGAAUAGUGGCGUUUGUGAUAAAAUACUUGGUUCAAAUGACAAGAAAGUUGUGGGUGAGGUUGUUGGCUUGCGUGGUGGUAAGUAUAGUAGUAACAUAUUUUUUCUCUCAUAUGAUUAUUGCUUGGUGUUAUUACUUGAUCUUAUAUGUUUAAUAAGAUAUAUUUGCCAAAUUAUGUAGAGAAUACCUUCGUAUUUAAUCUCCAAUGAUGAAUUAGGAGUAAUUCUAUUCUUUAAGAUAGUUAGUGCAUUGGAUAGAGUAUUGACUUGGAAUGACCUCAUUUAUGACAUGAAACAUAGUUAUAUGGGUUAUCAUGUGUUACAUGACUUAAAGGGAGAUUUUUUUUUCUAAAUUUAGAACCAUUGAGGACUUGUAUCAGUGGUUGCCUAAACACCAUGGUUCUUUUGAUUUGCCCCUUUGUCAAUGUUUCCUAUGUAGCCAAGUAUAUCAAUUUUUGUUGGGUGACAAACCAUUUAUGACUCAUUUUUUUGCUUGGUUAUAUGUUAAAUGUGUACACCCUUGGCAUGGCCAUAAAUUUGUUAUUGAUAAUCCUUGUGUUAAACCUCAUGCUACGAUGAUAUGUUUGUUGUUUUUCCUUCUCAUUUUUUAAAAAAGUUUGGAUUCGUGGAUGAAUUCUUUUGAUGAAGUGGAUCAUGAUUAGCUUGGAACAUAUUAGGAGGGUCUUCCAUGUAUGGAUGAUAUCUUGGAGUUUGAAGGAAGGCAUGAAGAAAUAGAUACAUAAGGUCAUUGGCAAUCAAGAUGCCAUUUGGCCAAUUAAGAAGGUCCCUUGUGAGUUAUUUGUAAAAUGGUCACAUUAGGGAGAUUUUUGUAAUAGACUUUUUCUGUAAAGGCACUGACUAUAAAUAGUUUCUUUAUCCAUUUUCAUCACUUAGAUUUGGAAAAGUGAAUUGUCUUGAAUAGAAUUGAUAUUUAGUUAUUCGAUAUUAGGGCAGUAAUUGGGUUCAAUUUCAAUUGUUAGCUUAGAUUGAGUGAUUAGGGUGUCUUUCUAAAUUGUUUGUGUUAUCUUCUUCACUUGAUUUAUCAUUAAGUUAUCAUAUUAUGGAUUCAAUCUGGUUUCUCGUCCAUUUGAUUAAGUUCUCUAUUUUUCUUAGCUUAAUUAUUAUUUGAUUAAGUCUUUCUUUCAGCACUUCUAUAAUACCCCAUAUUAUUAUUAGGUCAGUUCAUCUUCUAGUUGUAUGCAUAAGGGGCUUAAGGCCUAAAAAUUUCACUAAGUGUUGGGGAAUUAGUCAUUUAUAAGUCCUCUUAACUUCGAGGAUUUUUCGAUUGGUCUUCCCGAUCCUAAGGUGUUGGUUUUUGAGUUAAUUCAUAUUCAGGGAUGUAAGGAGCAUGUCUUAGAGAAGUUUCAAAUUUUUUGAAUGAGGUUUCGGUCAUGUUUGGAUCACAAAUCCAGAAAGUCACUGCGAUACGGCUGCGUCGCUUUAAUAUUUCCAUUUGCAUGCUCACUGCGUUGCGGUAAGGGAAAUGGAUGACUUCAAUUAGACCGCGUUGCGGUAAGUAUGUUAUGCCCAGUUAUGAAUUUAAUUGCCUGAGGGGAAAUUGUGUCUGUUCCCCUCAACCCAAAUCAUGCAUAACACGAAUUGAGACAUCAUUUAGAGCAUUAUUUGCCCUUCUUCUCUAAAUCCAUCUCAAGAAAACCCUUCCCACUUUCUCAAAAUCACCAAUUUCAAUUUUUUUCUCCCUAAAAAACCAAGGAACUCAAGCUUCAAAUUCAAGAAACCCUCAAGAAAUCUUCAAGAAAUCAUCUAUUAAGGUAUGUGGAUGUUCAUUCAUGGGUUUCUUUCAGUCUACAAAGCCGUGUCUACGUAGGGUCUUGUUUAUCGGUGUGUUGUGCACCACAUCUAUAAACAGGAGGCUAUGGACAUUUAGGAAUUGUUUCUUUUCUUCAUGUCUUAGAUCGUGCGAUAGAGCUUAUAUUGUAUAUGAAGUCAUAGUUGACCACUGAAUCAGUUUGUUUCUCUUAUUAUAGUAAUGAUGCCGGUUACCAGAAGCAAGAAUACCGGUAAGCAAGUAGAUGUGGCUGCCGGAGAGGGGACUAGUAAGUCACCCACUAUACCAGCUAAUCAAAGUGAGGCUCCAGCUGAGCAUGCAUCAGAAACUUCCUCCAGUCCGGAAGAAAUAAGGGGGAGGAGAACUAUAUCCGCAGAGCCACCUAUUAAUGUUGUUGAUCAAGAUCUUAGAAAUGCAGUGCAACUUUUGACUCGUAUAGUUGCUGGGCAAGCUCAAGGGCAAGCCAUUCCUACUGCAGGUCCUAGUGGUAUAGAUAGGGCGGCUAGCCUUCGAACACAGGAUUUUCUUAAGAUGGAUCCUCCCACUUUUACUGGAUCAGAUCUUAACGAGGACCCACAGGACUUUAUCGAUCAAAUUCAAAGGGCCUUGGAUGUUAUGCAUGUAACGGGUAGAGAGACAGUGGAGUUAGCGGCGUAUAGAUUUAAAGGGGAGGCUAUAUAUUGGUAUGAGGACUGGAAACGAUCUAGGGGUAUUGAUGCACCCCCAGCUACUUGGAAGGAGUUCAAAGAGGCAUUUCUUGAUCAUUAUCUUCCAUUCGAGAUUCGUCAGGCCCGUGCAGAUCAGUUUUUAAAUCUUCGUCAGGGGAAUAUGAGCGUGAGGGAGUACAGUCUUCGAUUUAAUUCCUUGUCGAGAUAUGCUCCUAAUGUUGUAGCUACUAUGGUUGACAGAGUUCAUCAAUAUGUGGAUAGGCUAGAUCCAUAUCUGGUUAGAGAUUGUACUAUUGCUGCUUUGAACAAAGAUAUGGACAUAGCGAGAAUCCAAGCUUUUGCACAAAAAAUGGAAGAUCAGAGGCAGAGGAGAAGAACACAGGAAUCAGAAAGAGGAUAUUCCAAGAGGGCCAGAUCUACAGGGCAGUUCAUGGCAUUCGAAAGAGGGUUCAGACCACAGUUUUCUGCUAGACCACCUAGGCCAUUAUCCUCUUAUUCUACAGCUAGUGCCCCACCACAGUUCCAAGGGUUCAGAGGAAAUCAAUUUGGGCACAGAAGUGAGAGUCAGAGUUCGCGGACAGUGGGGUACCAAGGUCAAGGGAAUAUGAGCCAAUCAAGACCUCCUCGAGAGCCAUGCAAUAAAUGUGGAAGGUAUCAUUUGGGCGCAUGUCGGCUGGGGACCAAUGUUUGCUUUUGGUGCGGUAUGUCGGGGCAUAUGAUGAGGGAAUGCCCACGAAGGGACAUAGGGGGUAUGGCACGACCUACGGGGUCAUUUGUUGCAUCAUCAUCAUCGAUGCCUUAUUCAGGAAGGGGUGCACAGCCAAUGGGUCGUGUUAGAGGUGAUAGAGGAGCCACGAGUUCUAGCGGGGCUCAAAAUCGUACGUAUGCUCUAGCAGAUCGACAGAAUUUAGAGGCUUCUCCAGAUGUGGUUACGGGUAUGUUGGCUAUAUUUUCAUUCAAUUUAUAUGCCUUAAUUGAUCCCGGUUCUACAUUAUCUUAUGUUACUCCAUUGGUUGCUGGAAAGUUCGAAAGAAUACCCGAACUGUUAGUUAAGCCAUUUGAAGUGUCCACACCGGUCGGGGAAUCUAUUAUAGCUAGAAGGGUUUAUCGAAACUGCAUAGUAACUGUUUGUGGUCGUGAUACGAUGGCUGAUCUUGUGGAGUUAGAAAUGGUAGAUUUUGAUGUUAUAAUGGGUAUGGACUGGUUGGCGUCUUGUUAUGCCACAAUUGAUUGCUGCACGAAAAAGGUAUAUUUCCAUUUUCCAAAUGAAUCAGUCCUUGAAUGGAAAGGUGAAAUUAGCGUGCCAAGAGGUAGAUUUAUUUCUUAUUUUAAGGCGAGAAGAAUGAUUUCCAAGGGAUAUAUAUAUCAUUUAGUUAGAGUAAGGGAUACAGAAGCGGAGCCACCAACUCUUCACGCUGUUCCGGUGGUAAAUGAAUUUUCUGAUGUAUUUCCUGAAGAUCUUCCAGGUUUGCCUCCUGAACGAGAAGUAGAGUUUGGUAUUGAUGUAAUACCAGGCACCCAACCAAUCUCCAUUCCUCCGUAUAGAAUGGCCCCAGCAGAAUUACGAGAAUUGAAAGAGCAAUUGAAAGAUUUGCUAGAAAAGGGGUUCAUUAGGCCUAGUAUUUCCCCUUGGGGAGCACCAGUGUUAUUUGUACGCAAAAAGGAUGGCUCGCUGAGGAUGUGUAUUGAUUAUCGGCAAUUGAAUAAGGUGACUAUUAAGAAUAAAUAUCCUCUCCCAAGAAUUGAUGAUUUAUUUGAUCAGUUACAGGGCGCCAAGUGCUUUUCUAAGAUUGAUUUGAGGUCAGGUUACCACCAAGUGAGGGUCAAAGAAAAAGAUAUACCCAAAACAGCUUUCCGAACAAGGUAUGGUCAUUAUGAGUUUCUAGUUAUGUCAUUUGGGCUAACAAAUGCACCCGCAGCUUUUAUGGAUUUGAUGAAUAGGGUUUUUAAGCCAUUCCUGGAUGUAUUUGUGAUAGUUUUUAUAGAUGAUAUUCUAGUUUAUUCUAGAUCAGAAGAGGACCAUGCCAAUCACUUACGACAGGCAUUGCAGACUCUUCGUGAUUGUAAGCUUUAUGCAAAGUUCUCUAAAUGUGAGUUUUGGUUAAAGUCGGUGGCAUUUUUGGGUCAUAUUGUAUCUAGUGAAGGGAUAAAGGUUGAUGCUCAAAAGAUAGAGGCUGUGAAGAACUGGCCAAGGCCCACAACGCCUACGGAGAUUCGUAGUUUUCUUGGGUUGGCCGGUUAUUAUAGAAGGUUUGUCAAAGACUUUUCUUCCAUUUCAGCACCCUUAACCAAGCUAACCCAUAAAGCAUCCAAAUUCCAAUGGAAUGAUGCCUGUGAGAAGAGUUUUCAAGAUUUAAAGAACAAGUUGAUUUCUACACCCGUGUUGGUACUACCAGAAGGCACCGAAGGGUAUACAGUGUAUUGUGAUGCUUCCAGAAUUGGUUUAGGAUGUGUAUUGAUGCAGCAUGGUAAGGUAAUAGCAUAUGCUUCUAGACAAUUACGGCCACAUGAGAAAAAUUAUCCUACACACGAUCUUGAGCUGGCAGCGGUUAUUUUUGCUUUAAAGAUAUGGCGCCACUACUUAUAUGGGGUUCACGUUGAUAUAUAUACUGACCAUAAGAGCUUGCAAUAUAUUUUUAAUCAGAAGGAUCUAAAUUUAAGGCAGCGGAGAUGGCUUGAACUAUUAAAGGACUAUGAUGUUGAUAUCUUGUACCAUCCAGGGAAAGCAAAUGUGGUAGCUGAUGCGUUAAGUCGUAAGGCUAUGAUGGCGCCUAUAGAAAGGCAAGGGAUGGUUAAAGAUCUUCACCAGUUAGCUAGUUUGGGAGUUCGCCUUCUUGAAACUCCGAAUAAAGAGCUUAUCGUACAUAAUGCUGCGGAAUCUUCAUUAGUAGCUGAAGUGAAAGAGAAGCAAUAUGCAGAUCCUAUUUUAUUACAUCUUAAGGAGAACGUUCAGAGUGGUGCGACCAAGGCAUUUGAGCUUACGCGAGAAGGAGUACUUCAGUGCCAAAACCGAUUGUGUGUGCCGGAUAUAGACGGGCUAAGAAAGAAGAUUAUGACAGAGGCACAUUUUUCAAGGUAUUCCAUUCAUCCAGGAUCAACCAAAAUGUAUCAAGAUUUGAAAGAUAUGUAUUGGUGGAAUGACAUGAAGAAGAGCAUUGCAGAAUUUGUAGCUGAAUGUCCAAAUUGUCAAAGAGUUAAAGUUGAGCACCAAAAACCCGGAGGCUAUAUGCAAUGCAUAGAUCUUCCAAUUUGGAAGUGGGACAUGAUCAACAUGGAUUUUGUUACAGGUUUGCCUCGUACAGCUCGAAAAUUUGAUUCUAUAUGGGUGAUUGUGGAUAGGCUUACUAAAUCCGCACAUUUCUUACCCGUUAAGACCACUUACACAGUUGAAGAAUAUUCGAAGCUGUAUGUUAAAGAAAUAGUCCGAUUACAUGGAGUGCCAACUUCUAUUAUAUCGGAUCGGGGAACUCAAUUUACUGCAAACUUUUGGAAGUCUUUCCAACGGGGUUUGGGAACACAAGUGAAUCUGAGUACAGCUUUUCACCCUCAGACGGAUGGACAAGCAGAGCGCACCAUUCAAACACUUGAAGAUAUGCUACGAGCAUGUGUUAUAGAUUUUAAAGGCAGCUGGGAUGAUCAUUUACCUCUUAUUGAGUUUGCCUACAAUAAUAGCUAUCAUUCAAGUAUCAAAAUGGCACCAUAUGAAGCUUUAUAUGGGAGAAAGUGUAGAUCACCAAUAGGAUGGUUCGAAGCGGGUGAAACUCUUAUGUUCGGACCGGAUCUUGUGUAUCAAGCCAUAGAAAAAGUCAAGGUGAUACAACAACGGCUAAAAACAGCCCAAAGUCGUCAUAAAUCAUAUGCAGAUAUUCGGAGAAGAGGGCUGGAAUUCUCUAUUGGAGAUUGGGUAUUUUUAAAGGUAUCACCAAUGAAAGGGGUUAUGAGAUUUGGUAAAAAAGGGAAACUAAGCCCACGUUACAUAGGGCCAUAUAAGAUUACCAAGAGGGUCGGACAAGUUGCAUAUGAAUUAGAGCUACCCCAGGAACUUUCAAUGGUUCAUCCAGUGUUUCAUGUGUCAAUGCUUCGAAAAUGCAUAGGUGACCCCUCUCGUAUCACUCCUAUAGAAGAUGUACAGGUCACAGAGGAUCUUACUUAUGAAGAGGUACCGGUUGCUAUUCUAGAUCGCCAAGUUAAAAAGUUAAGGAACAAAGAAAUGGCAUCAGUAAAGGUACUUUGGAGAAAUCAACAAAGGGAAGAGAUUACAUGGGAAGCUGAGGAAGCAAUGAAAUCUAAGUACCCUCAUUUGUUCAAAGAUGAAGAGGAAGUUCAAGAAACGGAGUUAGAACAUUAACAAGUAAGUUUUUGUUUAUAUAUGCAUAGUAUUUAUGUGAUGAUGUGAAUGUUAAUGGUGGACUUGAACUUGUUUCGGCUAAAUAACUACAUUCACAUUCGAGGACGAAUGUCCUUAAGGGGGGAAGGAUGUAACACCCCGUACUUAAUUACGUGCAUUAGUCAUUGUUAUAUGUGUUGGGGUAUAUGUAUUGAUCCUAAGUUAGGUAUAUAUGAGUUUAAGUAUGAGUAUUGAUUAUUUUGAGAUGGUUUCAAGUGUAUAGUUUGAUUAUAGGUGUAUAGGAAUCGACUUUAUUUAUAUCGGAAUUUUCCCGUCGAUGGUUCCAUACGAAGGUUAUUGAAUAAGCUUUCCAACGAUAUAAAGAUUUCCAAAAACGGAUAAGUUUCGGAUAUAAGCGAGCUCGUUCGAAACUUUAAAACGGUGGCCGGGAUGUGAACAGUAAAAUGUGCAGGAAACUACUGAGGCCUGCCAGUUUUUUGGGUCAACUUUGAACGAUCAUAACUCCCUCAAUAUAAUGAACUGGUUGAGCUACCAUAUAUCAAAAGAAAGAUCUUUGAGUCUUCUUUCCAAUGAAAUUGGUUUCAUCCAAAUCCAACAUCUGAGUAAGGAGUUAUACUCGUUUUACUUCAGCCUCUCAAAACAGAUUUUUAGGGUCAACUUCAAACGAUCAUAACUACUUGUACAGGACGAACUGGGUGGAUUAAUUUAUAUUAAAUGAAAUACCUUUGAAUUAUCUUUCUAACGAUACCAAUUUCACCCAAAUCCGAUAUCGGAGCAAAGAGUUAUGGCCGAUUUACUUUAGCCUAUCAAAACAGUCCACCAUGGACAGAUUCGGAUUUACUUAAAUUUUUAAGGGCAAUAUGGUCAUUUUCCAUCACCUCUUGAACGAAAAUUGGUCAUUAUAUACAUAUACUUAGCCUCAUAUCCAUUAUUUAUCAUCCAUUAUUGAAAACUAAGAAACCCUAGCCAAAUUUCAACUCCAAUUAUCUUGUGAUUCAACCGUAGAAAAUCCAAAUUGAUUCCGUAGUUGUGUUCACCGUCUCAAGGGCUUCGAGAAGCACCCCUUAUUUGUGCCAACAGGACUUCGAAAUCAAAAGGGCCAUUUUUUUGGUAAGGAUGUAAAUUAUGUUGGUGUUAUUUAUAUGGAUAUGUAUAUAUAUAUAUGCAUGUGAGCAUAAGAAGUAUGUUAUUUGAUUGUUGUUGAAAGAUGAUUGGAAAUGAUGUUGGAUUAUUCUUGUGCAUGGUUGGAUUAUGUUAAAUUGUGAAGGAAUUUGGGGUGAUGAUGUGGUAUUGAUGAUGUGGUAUUGAAAUGAUGAUUAUAUAUAUAUACACACAUAAACCUAUUGUUCAAGUUGGUUUUUGGAAUGUUUUGCAAAUAUUGGUAGUAUGGAAUUAUGGAAGAGAAUUGUGGUGUUGGGUUGCUAAUACUAGAUGCCAAACAUUUCAUUGUAGAUAAGUGAUUUGUAAAGGCGGGAAGUUGUGUUGAAUUGGUAUCUGAAUCUACAACGAGGUAUGUAAAGCAUACUCUAACAAUGUUCUUUGGCAUGAAAACACCAAUGUUCCAUCAAGUAAGAUUCCGAGGUUGUCCAAAAACAUGUAUUGUUCUACGUUACCAACGAAGUUGUUUCCAUUCUAUAAAGUGUCAAAAUGUUUCAUUGAUAUACCAAAAGGCUCUUAUUUCAUUGUUGUGAUAUUGAUGAUUCUGAAACACAUUGUUGAUGUACCAAUGAGUCUUUAUUACAUCGUUAUUGUAUAGAAGGUCUAUUACUUGGUUCCUAUUGAUGUAUCAUUGUUUCAAAGUAUCAAAAAUGUGGUGGCGACCGAAAUAACAAUCUCAAAGAUUAAUUGAACUAAGUGAUGGGAGUUCUCUCUUAUCGGGUGGUAUCCCAGGGGCAUAAGCCUAGCAUGGGUCGAUCCCUAUUUCAUGUGUUUAUGGGUGGUAUCCCAGGGGCAUAAGCCUAGCAUGGGUCGAUCCCAGUUGAUAUGUACUGGAGGCAUCCUAAUGGUCACAGUACAGUACAGUAAUGAUUACAAAGACGAUAAGAACGAAGGUAAAGUGAUUGAAUAAAUACAAUGUACAGGUUGUCACAAGUUCUAGUAAGUGUGGUCCACUCCUAUUACGACUUAUUCACUUGUUUCUGAUUUCUAUUGAGCUCCUAUAUCAUAUGUGAUUAUUUACAGCUUUACAUACUCAGUACAUAUUUCGUACUGACGUCCCUCACGGGGGACCUGCAUUUCAUGCUGCAGGCACAGGUACCUCAGCUCAUACACCGCACAAGUAGGAGCCAGGUCAUACAGCUAUUGUUGGUGAGCUCCAGUUUGCUUCGGAGCUUUCCGAGUCGGUUCCUUAUGUUUUGUUAUUGUACAUGAGUCAUGUGUGGGCAGGGGUUUGUCCCGACCCUAGUUAUGUCAUGUAUAUCCUAGAGGCUUUGUAGACAUAAGGAAGGGUAAAGUCAUGGAAGUUUAUAUAGUGAUGUUAUAUCUGUAUAUGUGGUGGCCCCGACGGCCAAGUAUUAUAUAUAUAUAUAUAUUUGCGCGUGUUGUGCUGAUACAGGUAAUUAGACCUUUCUAUAUGCAACGAAGUGCUGUCCAAUUUUUUGGUGACAUGUAAGUGAAAGUACAGGUAUUUGAACGGGUUCUCCCGGGCCUUCUCGGCUUCGGGUGCCAGUCCGGCCCGAUGGGAUUUUGGGGCGUGACAUUAUGAUUGUUAUUGGGCCUAAGGACGAGUGAUAUUAGGCCCGACGAUAAGUUUAUUUAGUGAUCACUGGACCUAGGUUAUACUCACUGGCAAGAGUAUGACGCCUCUCCCCAACGUGAGGUCUCUUCCUUAGAAGGACAAAACGUUAGACUCUAUGUAGCUCGCAUGGUUUAUAUCGAUUAAGAGAACCUCCCUUGACAUUUAAACUUCGAGAUCAGUUACCUCCCUAAACUAAAGUAUUUUCCAUUGAGAUAAGAUAUUCUCCUUUAAAACUAAAAUACUUUCCCUUGAUAUGAGUAUUUUUCCCUAAAGCUUGAAAUGAGAUAUUUUCCUAACGUGAAUGAAAUGCCUUCAAGUAUGUUCCAAAGUUAUAUGAUUUCGAAUUCCAAGUAUUNNNNNNNNNNNNNNNNNNNNNNNNNNNNNNNNNNNNNNNNNNNNNNNNNNNNNNNNNNNNNNNNNNNNNNNNNNNNNNNNNNNNNNNNNNNNNNNNNNNNNNNNNNNNNNNNNNNNNNNNNNNNNNNNNNNNNNNNNNNNNNNNNNNNNNNNNNNNNNNNNNNNNNNNNNNNNNNNNNNNNNNNNNNNNNNNNNNNNNNNNNNNNNNNNNNNNNNNNNNNNNNNNNNNNNNNNNNNNNNNNNNNNNNNNNNNNNNNNNNNNNNNNNNNNNNNNNNNNNNNNNNNNNNNNNNNNNNNNNNNNNNNNNNNNNNNNNNNNNNNNNNNNNNNNNNNNNNNNNNNNNNNNNNNNNNNNNNNNNNNNNNNNNNNNNNNNNNNNNNNNNNNNNNNNNNNNNNNNNNNNNNNNNNNNNNNNNNNNNNNNNNNNNNNNNNNNNNNNNNNNNNNNNNNNNNGUGAGUCAUUACUUAUUACAUGCAUGAUUUGAUUAAAGAGUAUUGAUGUUGUUUUAUAUAAAUGCAUGCACCCCUACAUACUCAGUACAUUCCCAAGUGUUGAUCAAUAUAUACGUCUAUGUGCUACAUUGUCUUAUAAUGUAGGUUCAGGUUUUAGGUGCUGAGUCCCAUCCUCAUGAUUCAAGGACCUAUCCUCAGACAUUUCUGCGUUUGAGACUCUGUUUUUACUUUCAGUUCAUUUUGGUCAGUUAGGGACCUGUCCCAAUGGCUCUCUAGUUCAUGGAUUAGUAGAGGCUUUGUCAGACUAGUUAUCAGAUUGUGGUUGUGUUGAGGUUUCCGGUAUUGCUUGGUCGUUUGGAUCGAGCAUUUUCUCUGUAUUUCCUUUCAUAUGAUAUGACUAUGCUAGUGUUUGAAUUAUUUCAUCUUGAAAUGAGUGUUAUUAGUAGAAACAGACUCAAAGGGUUUGCUUGGGGCUACUUGUAGCCUCAAGCACUGUGUGAUGUCCCGGGAGGUGAGUUCGGGUCAUUACAAACUUGGUAUCAAAGCUAGGUUUUAAAAGAGUCUUAGGGAGUCUGACAAGCCGCGUUGAGUAGAUUCUUGAUCAUCGGUGUGUAGCGCACCACAUCUAUGAGCAAGAGGCUACAAGAUGUUUUAUAAAAAAGUUAUUUCUUUCUUUCGGAUUCUAUCGUGCCUACAUUUGUCCCUUUUAUCUAAUAAUUCAUGCUCUUCUAUUUCAGAAAAUUCCUCUACGAAGAGCGAAUGCCCGCAGGAAUGAUGAUGAGCAGCCCCUACCUGUUGAUCCUUUGAAUGAGAUUGUGUCUCAUGCUGAGUUUUGGGCGGCCUUUCAGGCGUUAUCCCAAGCAGUCACCACUAAUGUUCGGGCCAAUAAUCAGGCCGCAGUUGCUAAUCAACAGGGAGGUGAUGUAGCUACGGCUAGGAUCUAUGAUUUCAUGCGGAUGAAUCCGCCAGAGUUUUAUGGGUCCAAGGAAGGUGAGGACCCAUAAUUGUACCUGGAAGAGGUGAGAAAGAUCACGCAGGUGAUGCAUGUUUCUAAGGAAGAAAGUGUUAAGUUGGUGUCUUACAGGUUGAAGGACAUACCAUAUGAACGGGUUGUAUCGUGGAGGAAGGGCAGAGGUAAGGAUGUUGCUCCUAUGACUUGGCAGGUAUUCCAAGAUAUAUUCUUGGACAAGUUCUUUUCACUUGAGAUAAGGGAGGCAAGGAUUGAAGAGUUUAUAAACUUGAGGCAGGGUUCUAUGACUGUUAAGGAGUACAGCUUGAAGUUCAACCAGUUGGCCAAGUAUGCUCCUAGUUUGAUUUCUAAUACCCAGGCUAGUAUGAGCAAGUUUGUGACUGGUGUUUCUGGGUUGUACUAAAGGAGUGUAGGAUUGCGAUGUUGCAUAGGGAUAUGGAUCUGGCUAGGUUGAUAAUGUAUGCCUAGCAGAUAGAGGUAAAUAAGAUUAGGGAGAGAGAUUUAGUGAGGGGUAACAUGAGGGCUAGAUAUGAGCAGCAUGAGUUUAGCCAGCCUAGGUUCCAUGAAGGAACCAUCCUCAGUUUCAGAGGCGUCUGUCUAUGCCAGUGCCUUCAACAGCUAGUGCUUCCGCACCUAGAAGCAGGAAGGAGCAAGGGGGCAGAUCUUUUAUGUCUAGGUCGUAGAACAGUGUUGGUAACAGGCCCCGCUAUCCUCUCUGUGCUAAGUAUGGUAGGAGUUAUCUCGAGGAGUGUUUUGUAGAUCUGAGGGGUUGUUUUGGUUGUGGCAAGCAGGGCCACAGACUUAGAUAUUGUCCUCACGCUAGACAGGGGAACAGAGAUGCCCGACCUCAGGCACAGGCUACUAGUGCACCAGCUUCUAUACCCUAUCCCGCCUCUGCUUAGGUCACUUUAUCUAGCACUGCUAGCGGUCAGCGCCACAAUAAAUUCUAUGCCUUACCAUCCUGUCAGGAGCAGGAGGACUCUCCUGAUGUUGUUACCGGUAUGCUUCAUGUCUUUUACUUUGAUGUCUAUGUGUUGUUGGACCCCGGGUCAAGUCUCUCUUAUAUGACCACAGUUGUAGCUAUGAAUUUCAAAAUGGGUCCCGAAAAUAUUCCUGAUCCUUUCCUAGUUUCUACACCCAUCAAGGAGUCAGUUAUUGCUAAAUAAGUGUAUAGAGAUUGUCCUGUUACUGUUCUUCAUAGAGUCAUACUUGCUGAUUUGAUAGAGUUAGACAUGGUGGAUUUCGACCUUAUUUUGGGAAUGGAUUGGCUUCAUUCUUGUUAUGCAUCUAUAGACUAUCGUACCCAUAUGGUCAAGUUUCAGUUUCCUGAUGAACCAACUUUUGAGUGAUCCAGGAGUUCGGUAUCUCCCAAGAGUCAUUUUAUCUCCUAUUUCAAAGCCAGAAAGAUAAUAUCCAAAGAUUGCAUUUAUCACUUAGCUAGAGUCAAAGACACUAAGUCCGAGGCUCCAACUAUUCAGUCAGUCAAUAUUGUUAAUGAGUUUCCAGAUGUUUUUUUGAAAGAUCUCCCAGGGUAACCUCCCAAUUGAGAGAUAGAAUUCGGGAUUGACCUUUUUCCUGAUACUCGGCCUAUUUCUAUUCUUCCAUACCAUAUGGCACCUGCUGAGCUUAAGGAGUUAAAAGAGCAACUCAAAUAUCUUUUAGACAAAGGUUUCAUAAGGCCCAGUAUUUCUCCUUAGAGCGCGCCUAUCUAAUUCGUGCGAAAGAAAGACGGUUCUUUGCGUAUAUGCAUUGACUAUCGUCAGCUUAACAAGGUCAUAGUAAAAAAUAAGUAUCCUCUUCCGAGAAUUGAUGACCUAUUUGAUCAGUUGCAAGAUGCAAGUUAUUUCUCUAAGAUAAACCUUAGAUCCGGCUAUCAUCAACUUAAAGUGAGGGAAUAUAAUAUUCCACAGACAGGCUUCCGAACCCGCUAUGGUCACUUUGAGUUCUAGUCAUGUCCUUCGGGCUAACCAAUGCCCCAGCCGCCUUCAUAGACCUCAUAAAUCGAGUGUUCAAUCCAUAUCUUGAUAUGUUUGUCAUUGUCUUCAUAGAUGACAUCCUUGUAUACUCCCAUAAUGAAAAUAACCAUGUGAAUCACCUUAGAGUUGUCUUACAAACUCAUUGAGAUCACCAGUUGUUCUCUAAAUUUAGUAAGUGUAAAUUUUGGCUAAGGUCUGUAGCCUUUCUAGGUCAUAUUAUUUCAACCGAAGGUAUUAAAGUUGACCCUCAAAAGAUAGAAGCUGUAAGAAAUUGGCCUAGACCUAUCUCUCUAUCUGACAUUAGAAGUUUCUUGGGUCUAGCGAGCUACUACCACUGUUUUGUUGAAGGUCUCUCUUCAAUUGUGUCUCCUAUGACCUGGUUGACCCAAAAGAAAGAUAAGUUCCAGUGGUCAGAUUCCUGUAAGAAGAGUUUUUAGGAGUUGAAGAAUUGACUUACUUCAGCCCUUGUGUUGACUUUGCCUGAUGGUACAGAUGGUUUUGUGGUGUAUUGUGAUACCUCUAGAAUUGGUUUGGGUUGUGUGUUGAUACAAAUUGGUAAGGUUAUAGCCUAUGCCUCUAGGCAGUUGAAGCCGCAUGAGAAGAAUUGCCCAACCCAUGAUCUUGAGUUAGCUGUUAUGAUCUUUACUUUGAAAACCUGGAGACACUAUCUUUAUGGUGUUCAUAUUGAUGUGUUUACUGAUCAUAAGAGCCUGCAAAAUGUAUUUACUCAAAGGGAGUUGAAUCUUAGGCAGAGGAGGUGGUUGGAGUUGUUAAAAAACUAUGAUAUGAGUGUGAUGUAUCACCUGCGCAAGGCCAACGUAUUGGCGAAUGCCCUUAGCAGAUUGUCUAUGGGUAGUCUUGCUCAUGUAGAGGAAGGGAAAAAGAGCUAUCUCGUGAUGUGCAUUGUCUGGAUAGAUUGGGUAUAAGGUUACUUGAUUCAGCCGAGGGGAGUACGUUGGUGCAAAGUAGUUCCGAAUCCUCUUUUGUUUCGGAAGUGAAGGAGAAGCAAGACAAGGAUCCUAGUUUGGUCGAACUGAAGGAGUUAGUUCAAGACCAAAAGGUAGAGGUUUUCUCCUAAGGGGAAGAUGGCGUGUUGAGAGUGCAAGGUAGAUUGUGUAUUCCAUGUGUUAAUGAUCUAAGGCAGAGGAUUAUGGCUGAAGCACAUGGCGCGCGGUAUUCUAUGCAUCCCGGCACCGCCAAGAUGUACCACAACUUGCGGGAAAUUUAUUGAUGGAAUCGUAUCAAUAAGGAUAUAGCUGAGUUCGUAGCAAAGUGUACAACGCGCCAACAGGUUAAAGUAGAGAACCAAAGACCUAGUAGUGUGAUGCAAAAGUUUGGUAUACCCACUUGGAAGUGGAAGGUGGUGAAUAUGGACUUCAUGAACGGGUUGCCUCUUUCGCGUCAUCAUCAUGACUCUAUUUGGGUUUUUGUGGAUAGGAUGACUAAGUCCGCACAUUUCUUUCCGGUGCUCACAUCUUAUACAACUGAGGAUUAUGCUAGAUUGUAAUCCGGGAGAUUGUCAGGCUGCAUGGAGUUCCCUCCUCCAUUAUUUCAGAAAGGGGCACUCAAUUUACUUUUCAGUUUUGGAGGGCGUUUUAGCAGGGUCUUGGUACCCAAGCUCUUUUGAGUUCUGCUUUUCAUCCGCAGACAGAUGGUCAGGCUGAGAGGACCAUUCAGACCCUGGAAGAUAUGUUGAGGGCAUGUGCUUUUGAUUUCAAUGGUAGUUGGGAUGAGCAUUUUCCAUUGAUAGAGUUUGUCUAUAAUAAUAGUUACCAUGCUAGCAUCGGGAUGGCACCAUUUGAGGCCUUGUAUGGUAGGAUAUGUAGGUUACCCAUAGGGUGGUUUAAAGUGGGUAAAGCUUCUACAAUUAGGCCUGAUGCAGUAUUUAAAGCUAUGGAGAAAGUUAAGUUGAUUAGAGAGAGGUUGAAGACCUCUCAGAGUCGCCAAAAGUCAUAUGCCGAUGUAAGGAGAAGAGAGCUUGAGUUUGAGGUGGGUGAUUUGGUGUACUUGAAGAUUUCACCCAUGAAAGGGGUGAAGGGGUUUGGUAAAAAGGGAAAGCUUAGUCACCGUUAUGUUGGCCCGUAUAAAGUCAUGAGCUGUGUUGGUAAGGUGGCCUAUGAGGUUGAGUUGCCCACAGAGUUGUCAGUUGUUCAUCCUGUUUUUCAUGUCUCUAUGCUUAAGAAGCAUAUUGGUGAUUCCGUUGUAGUGGAUCCCUCAUAUAGUGCUGAUAUUCAGAACAGUCUUUCCUUCGAUGAGAUUCCUGUUGAGAUCCUAGAUUUUCAGAUCCAUAGACUAAGGAACAAAUAAGUUCCCUUGGUUAAAGUUUUAUGGCGGAACCAAUCUGUUGAGGGUGCUACUUGGGAGGCAGAAACAGACAUGUGAGCCAAGUAUCCGCACCUCUUUUCCGCGAGUUCAGAUCAAGCCGAAGGUAUUAUUCUUCCUUAACUUAGCCCUUUGAAUCUAUAGUGCAGCUAUGUAUCUAUUUUUGCAUGAGUUCUUGUAAUUUCUAAUGUAUUCAAGAGUUUAGAGUGAUUCAACUAUGUGUACUCUAUUUUCUCUGUGUUGCUAGUCCAACCAGUGACAUUCGAGGACGAAUGUUUCCAAGGGGGAGAUAUUGUAAGACCCCCCGCAAAUUUCUCUCAUAGAAUGAACCUUAGGCGUGUAAAGUGAGGCGUGAUUCCGGCCCUAAAAGAUUGAGAAAUGACUUCCUAAGUGAGUUUCAUAUUAACCACAUAGAAUUUCCCCAAUUUUGACUUUUUAUUACAUGGAAAAUUCGAUAAGCUUUCCGUAGAUAUAAGGUUCGCCUAAAUCCGAUAUCCAUGUAAGAAAUUAUGGCUAAUUUAAGUCCUAGUCGUAAAAUAGCGUCAUUUUAGUGCUUGGCGCUUCGCGGAGAGGGUCUAUUUGACAAUUGUCAAUUUCCAGUGGAACUCUGCGAUAGUGGCGCAUCACGGAGGACCCCAAUUUCCCAAUCGUCAAUUUCCAGUGGCCUGGCGCGAUUGUGACACGUCGCACUGAAAUUUCAGGUCUCCACUAGUGGGACAAUGCGAUGGCUCCGCAUCGUGGUGACUACCAACUUCCCAUUUGUCAAUUUCUAGUGAUCUCCACGAUAGUGGCGUGUUGCGGUGGCCCAUGAAAUUGGGUUCCCAGUUCAAUUUUCUAGCUUCGUACAGAAGUUAAAAAAGGCAUUUUGGACUUUUUCCAAGCCUCUUAAACCGUGCAAACACCAAAUCAAGGUCAUUUACAAGCAUUCUAUGAAGUCUCUCUCAAGUUUUAUCUCAACAGAAAACCCUAAGUAUCCAAAACCUCUUCCAAGAAUCUCAAAAAUCUACCAUAGAUUUUCUAAAUUGAGUCAAGAUUCAAGGUUCCCAAGUCAAGGGCUUUAAGAGAGUACAAAUAGAGUUCCAACAGAGAGAGUUCAUCCAAAACUUCUAAUUCAAGGUAUGUGGGGUUUUGAACAAGGGUAAUUCUUUCACCUCGUGCCCAAAGGCUUAUUUAAACUACAAUUCUCUGCAACUUAUGACAUUUUACAUGAAAUUGAAUUGGGGGUUUUCACCCAUUGUUAUUGGUUGCAAGAUUUUGAUGUUUUCCUUGAACUGAGAGUCUAAUGGCAUGAUUUUUACAUGUUUUCUUGAGAAAUUGCAGCUAGGUCUAUACCCCAUGAUUUUAAUCCUAGAGAAAUUAAUAGUUGAAAUGUUUGAAACAUUGAAGUAUGUUGAGAUUUUGAGAUAAAUUGCUGAAAUUUCUAGAUUUCUAUAUGAGUUAUGAAUCUAUAUGCUAUCUAUUAUGCUUUUGAUGAGUUUUAACUUAGGGUUGAACUAUGGGUUAUUAAUCUCUACUUGAGACUUGAGAUUUUAUGAACUAUUGUGCUAUAAGCUCCCAUGAUUUGAGUAUUCUGAGAUUAUUGAGAAAUGUUUUGACCUAAUGGUCAUUAAGUUUUGAAAUCCACUCUACUAUAUCUGAUUACAGAUUUGAUUACUGGGUUCUUAUUGAACCAUGAGAUUAUUCUAAAGUGGAUUUUCAUGAGAUGAGCGAGAUAAACUAAAGGGAGUAGUAUUUAGCACCGAGUGGGUAAAUUACUACGGUUUCUUACCCCAAAAUUACUUUCCACCGUAGGUUGAGCCUGAGGCCGAGUAUAUGAUUGUUAUUGGGCCUAAGGAUGAGUUGAUAUUAGGCCUGACGACGAGUUUAUUUAGUGAUCACUGGACCUAGGUUAUACUCCCUGGCAAGAGUAUGACGCCUCUCCCCAACUUGAGGUCUCUUCCUUAGAAGGACAAAACGUUGGACUCCAUGUAGCUCGCAUGGUUUAUGUCGAUUAAGAGAACCUCCCUUGACAUUUAAACUUCGAAAUCAGUUACCCUCAAAACUAAAGUAUUUUCCAUUGAGAUAAGAUAUUCUCCUUUAAAACUAAAAUACUUUCCCUUGAUAUGAGUAUUUUUCCCUAAAGCUUGAAAUGAGAUAUUUUCCUAACGUGAAUGAAAUGCCUUCAAGUAUGUUCCAAAGUUAUAUGAUUUCGAAUUCCAAGUAUUUGAGUUCAAAAGAGUUAUGAGUUCUUGAGCAUUGAAGAAGUUUUACUCUCUAUGAGAUAUAUGCAUGAGUUGAAAGUAUUGUUUAAAGUUUCCUUUAGCCUUGAGUAAUGAGAAUAAGACAAGAGUACAAAUUUCAAAUCUGAAAGUAUAAUGACUCACAAGAUUGUGUUACAUGUUCCAUUUUACAUGAUUCAUGAGCUUCACAUUUUAUACUUAAUAUAAUGACUCACAAGAUUGUGUUACAUGUUCCAUUUUACAUGAUUCAUGAGCUUCACAUUUUAUACUUAUUCAAGACAUGUGAGUCAUUACUUAUUACAUGAUUUGAUUAAAG
This 23073-nucleotide long non-coding RNA is filed under the name Capsicum annuum. RNAcentral describes it as "long non-coding RNA (CANN_LNC020236)". The record is from RNAcentral. Lineage: Eukaryota; Viridiplantae; Streptophyta; Magnoliopsida; Solanales; Solanaceae.